AGCGAACGCUGGCGGCAGGCCUGACACAUGCAAGUCGAACGAACUCUUCGGAGUUAGUGGCGGACGGGUGAGUAACACGUGGGAACGUGCCUUUAGGUUCGGAAUAACUCAGGGAAACUUGUGCUAAUACCGAAUGUGCCCUUCGGGGGAAAGAUUUAUCGCCUUUAGAGCGGCCCGCGUCUGAUUAGCUAGUUGGUGAGGUAAAGGCUCACCAAGGCGACGAUCAGUAGCUGGUCUGAGAGGAUGAUCAGCCACAUUGGGACUGAGACACGGCCCAAACUCCUACGGGAGGCAGCAGUGGGGAAUCUUGCGCAAUGGGCGAAAGCCUGACGCAGCCAUGCCGCGUGAAUGAUGAAGGUCUUAGGAUUGUAAAAUUCUUUCACCGGGGACGAUAAUGACGGUACCCGGAGAAGAAGCCCCGGCUAACUUCGUGCCAGCCGCCGCGGUAA
RNAcentral lists this ribosomal RNA (449 nucleotides) under uncultured bacterium. RNAcentral describes it as "partial 16S ribosomal RNA". It matches the Rfam family "Bacterial small subunit ribosomal RNA", at positions 29 to 523 of the family's 1533-position model. The record is from RNAcentral.